This 468-nucleotide ribosomal RNA is filed under the name uncultured bacterium. RNAcentral describes it as "partial 16S ribosomal RNA". It matches the Rfam family "Bacterial small subunit ribosomal RNA", at positions 28 to 507 of the family's 1533-position model. The record is from RNAcentral.
GACGAACGCUGGCGGCGUGCUUAACACAUGCAAGUCGAACGGAAAGGCCCUGCUUUUGCGGGGUGCUCGAGUGGCGAACGGGUGAGUAACACGUGGGUAACCUGCCCUUGACUUUGGGAUAACUUCAGGAAACUGGGGCUAAUACCGGAUAGGAGCUCCUGCUGCAUGGUGGGGGUUGGAAAGUUUCGGCGGUUGGGGAUGGACUCGCGGCUUAUCAGCUUGUUGGUGGGGUAGUGGCUUACCAAGGCUUUGACGGGUAGCCGGCCUGAGAGGGUGACCGGCCACAUUGGGACUGAGAUACGGCCCAGACUCCUACGGGAGGCAGCAGUGGGGAAUAUUGCACAAUGGGCGGAAGCCUGAUGCAGCAACGCCGCGUGCGGGAUGACGGCCUUCGGGUUGUAAACCGCUUUCGCCUGUGACGAAGCGUGAGUGACGGUAAUGGGUAAAGAAGCACCGGCUAACUACGUG